AGCGCAGGCGGGAGAAUAAGUUGGAAGUGAAAUCCAUGGGCUCAACCCAUGAACUGCUUUCAAAACUGUUUUUCUUGAGUAGUGCAGAGGUAGGCGGAAUUCCCGGUGUAGCGGUGGAAUGCGUAGAUAUCGGGAGGAACACCAGUGGCGAAGGCGGCCUACUGGGCACCAACUGACGCUGAGGCUCGAAAGUGUGGGUAGCAAACA
This 207-nucleotide ribosomal RNA is filed under the name uncultured bacterium. RNAcentral's name for it is "partial 16S ribosomal RNA". It matches the Rfam family "Bacterial small subunit ribosomal RNA", at positions 568 to 774 of the family's 1533-position model. The record is from RNAcentral.